UAAUACAUGCAAGUCGAACGCACUCUCGUUUAGAUUGAAGGAGCUUGCUCCUGAUUGAUAAACAUUUGAGUGAGUGGCGGACGGGUGAGUAACACGUGGGUAACCUGCCCUAAAGUGGGGGAUAACAUUUGGAAACAGAUGCUAAUACCGCAUAAAACCUAACACCGCAUGGUGUAGGGUUGAAAGAUGGUUUCGGCUAUCACUUUAGGAUGGACCCGCGGUGCAUUAGUUAGUUGGUGAGGUAAAGGCUCACCAAGACCGUGAUGCAUAGCCGACCUGAGAGGGUAAUCGGCCACACUGGGACUGAGACACGGCCCAGACUCCUACGGGAGGCAGCAGUAGGGAAUCUUCCACAAUGGACGAAAGUCUGAUGGAGCAACGCCGCGUGAGUGAAGAAGGUUUUCGGAUCGUAAAACUCUGUUGUUGGAGAAGAAUGUAUCUGAUAGUAACUGAUCAGGUAGUGACGGUAUCCAACCAGAAAGCCACGGCUAACUACGUGCCAGCAGCCGCGGUAAUACGUAGGUGGCAAGCGUUGUCCGGAUUUAUUGGGCGUAAAGCGAGCGCAGGCGGUUUCUUAAGUCUGAUGUGAAAGCCUUCGGCUCAACCGAAGAAGUGCAUCGGAAACUGGGAAACUUGAGUGCAGAAGAGGACAGUGGAACUCCAUGUGUAGCGGUGAAAUGCGUAGAUAUAUGGAAGAACACCAGUGGCGAAGGCGGCUGUCUGGUCUGUAACUGACGCUGAGGCUCGAAAGCAU
Molecule: ribosomal RNA, 754 nt
Filed under: Latilactobacillus sakei
Lineage: Bacteria; Bacillati; Bacillota; Bacilli; Lactobacillales; Lactobacillaceae
Description: bacterial SSU rRNA
Rfam family: Bacterial small subunit ribosomal RNA
Source: RNAcentral